This 451-nucleotide ribosomal RNA is filed under the name Paenibacillus sinopodophylli. RNAcentral describes it as "bacterial SSU rRNA". It matches the Rfam family "Bacterial small subunit ribosomal RNA", at positions 339 to 772 of the family's 1533-position model. The record is from RNAcentral. Lineage: Bacteria; Bacillati; Bacillota; Bacilli; Caryophanales; Paenibacillaceae.
CUACGGGUGGCAGCAGUAGGGAAUCUUCCGUCAAUGGACGAAAGUCUGACGGAGCAACGCCGCGUGAGUGAUGAAGGUUUUCGGAUCGUAAAGCUCUGUUGCCAGGGAAGAAUGCUUGGGAGAGUAACUGCUCCCAAGGUGACGGUACCUGAGAAGAAAGCCCCGGCUAACUACGUGCCAGCAGCCGCGGUAAUACGUAGGGGGCAAGCGUUGUCCGGAAUUAUUGGGCGUAAAGCGCGCGCAGGCGGCCUUGUAAGUCUGUUGUUUAAACUUGGGGCUCAACCCCAAGUCGCAAUGGAAACUGCAAAGCUUGAGUACAGAAGAGGAAAGUGGAAUUNCCACGUGUAGUCGGUGAAAUGCGUAGAGAUGUGGAGGAACACCCAGUGGCGAAGGCGACUUUCUGGGCUGUAAGCUGAACNACUGAGGGCGGNCCAAAAGACGGGGGCGCCAA